RNAcentral lists this ribosomal RNA (271 nucleotides) under uncultured bacterium. RNAcentral describes it as "partial 16S ribosomal RNA". It matches the Rfam family "Bacterial small subunit ribosomal RNA", at positions 524 to 794 of the family's 1533-position model. The record is from RNAcentral.
UACAGAGGGGGCAAGCGUUAUUCGGAAUUAUUGGGCGUAAAGGGCGCGUAGGCGGCUUGGCAAGUGGAAGGUGAAAUCCCUCGGCUUAACCGAGGAACUGCCUUCCAGACUGCUUCGCUUGAGACCAGGAGAGGUGAGUGGAAUUCCCAGUGUAGCGGUGAAAUGCGUAGAUAUUGGGAGGAACACCAGUGGCGAAGGCGGCUCACUGGACUGGUACUGACGCUGAGGCGCGAAAGCUGGGGGAGCGAACAGGAUUAGAUACCCCGGUAGU